RNAcentral lists this transfer RNA (69 nucleotides) under Cornufer guppyi (Shortland Island webbed frog). RNAcentral's name for it is "tRNA-Val". The record is from RNAcentral. Lineage: Eukaryota; Metazoa; Chordata; Amphibia; Anura; Ceratobatrachidae.
CAAAAUGUAGCUUAAUAAAAGCCUCUUACUUACACCAAGAACAUAUCUGCUAAUCCAGAUCAUUUUGAG